This is a non-coding RNA of Paramuricea clavata, 236 nucleotides long. NCBI's taxonomy places the organism in Eukaryota, Metazoa, Cnidaria, Anthozoa, Malacalcyonacea, Plexauridae. The record is from the annotation of a GenBank genome assembly.
GUGUUUACAUCGGACAUUUUGCAGCUUAAUGGCGAAAUCAAGAAAAUGAAAGCUAAGCAAAAACGAGGGAGGAGGAAGAUGUUCGCAGUCUGCUCUUGCUGAGUACGGAAAUCAUGCAAUCUAAGUUGUUUUCUCGGUGGCGGUGGUUUUUCUUCGAACUCAGUUUGGCAGCUCGAUGAAUCGAUUGGUGUAGUAUCUUCUGGUUCGUUGGACAUGCAUGUUAUAUAAAAUUCAAC